UACGUAGGGGGCGAGCGUUAUCCGGAAUUACUGGGCGUAAAGCGCACGCAGGCGGUUCGCCAAGUUUGGGGUGACAGUUGUCGGCUCAACCGACAAAGGACUUCAAAAACUGGUGAACUUGAGGACGAGAGAGGAACAUGGAACUCCAGGUGUAGUAGUGAAAUGCGUAGAUAUCUGGAAGAACACCAAUGGCGAAGGCAAUGUUCUGGCUCGUUUCUGACGCUCAGGUGCGAAAGCCAGGGGAGCGAACGGG
RNAcentral lists this ribosomal RNA (253 nucleotides) under uncultured bacterium. Its description in RNAcentral is "partial 16S ribosomal RNA". It matches the Rfam family "Bacterial small subunit ribosomal RNA", at positions 524 to 776 of the family's 1533-position model. The record is from RNAcentral.